Molecule: long non-coding RNA, 916 nt
Organism: Sebastes umbrosus (honeycomb rockfish)
Lineage: Eukaryota; Metazoa; Chordata; Actinopteri; Perciformes; Sebastidae
Exons: 3
Source: RefSeq, a predicted model, not a curated record
AGUUUAACAGUCACAGGGGACGUUUUCUUUCUUUUAAUACUUAAAGUACAUUUUCCUGAUUAUACUUAUGUAACCCACCCAACAUUUUCAUCAACAUCAUCAUCAUAAUCAUCAUAAUGUGACAUGUAGCAUAAUUAUACAAGCUCACUUGAAUUUAAGUUUGGAAGAAAUGUGUUAAGUGUUAAAUUGAUUUCUGAGUUCUCUGUUUCACUAUCUAAUCAGACACAGAUAGUCCAGGCUGAGCCACUUUGUUUUACUGGAGUCAUUUAUGUUCAGCCUUUUACAGCAGGUAAAUGGUAAUGACCUGUAGGUGGCAGCUGUAGAGGGAGGAGACGAGAAGUGAGCUCUCUGGAAGAAGAGGAACAUAAGAUCCAGUCCUGGGGAUUUUCCAACGUGGUGUCUGAAAACUUGUAUCUGUUGAAAUAGAUGUUUUUACAUUCAGAGAAGAAGAUGAAGAUGAAGAUGAAGAUGAAGAUGAAGAUGAAGGUGAAGAUGAAGAAGAAGAUGAAGAUGAAGGUGAAGAUGAAGAUGAAGGUGAAGAUGAAGAAGAAUUAGUUAAGAUUUGAUAAAGUUCUGUGGCCAGUGUUUAAUGAUUUAACCGUGGUUAAGUUUGGUUUUUAGCUCACAUGUAUGAAGGUGUAAUGUGUUUGAGUCCAGCCUGUUUGUAACUAAGAGCCGCGGUGGGUUUUCUUCUUUUCGCUGCUCUGCUGUAGAGGGAGGAGACGAGAAGUUAGCUCUCUGGAAGAAAAGGAACAUAAGAUCCUGACCUGGGGAUUUUACAACGUGGUGUCUGAAACCUGUUAUCUGUUGAAAUAGGCCGGACUGUGAGAGAGGUGUGGUGGUGACCUGGUGGUGUGAAGGAGGAGCAGAGCGGUUCCACUCUACAUAGAUCUCUACAUAGAUCUCUACAUAGAUC